RNAcentral lists this ribosomal RNA (1131 nucleotides) under Leuconostoc mesenteroides. RNAcentral describes it as "bacterial SSU rRNA". It matches the Rfam family "Bacterial small subunit ribosomal RNA", at positions 1 to 1143 of the family's 1533-position model. Lineage: Bacteria; Bacillati; Bacillota; Bacilli; Lactobacillales; Lactobacillaceae. The record is from RNAcentral.
GGGUGCCGUAGAGUUGAUCCUGGCUCAGUCGUAACAAGGUAGCCGCUAUGGAGUUUGUAUCCGGGCUUGGCGAACGGGUGAGUAACACGUGGACAACCUGCCUCAAGGCUGGGGAUAACAUUUGGAAACAGAUGCUAAUACCGAAUAAAACUUAGUGUCGCAUGACACAAAGUUAAAAGGCGCUUCGGCGUCACCUAGAGAUGGAUCCGCGGUGCAUUAGUUAGUUGGUGGGGUAAAGGCCUACCAAGACAAUGAUGCAUAGCCGAGUUGAGAGACUGAUCGGCCACAUUGGGACUGAGACACGGCCCAAACUCCUACGGGAGGCUGCAGUAGGGAAUCUUCCACAAUGGGCGAAAGCCUGAUGGAGCAACGCCGCGUGUGUGAUGAAGGCUUUCGGGUCGUAAAGCACUGUUGUAUGGGAAGAACAGCUAGAAUAGGAAAUGAUUUUAGUUUGACGGUACCAUACCAGAAAGGGACGGCUAAAUACGUGCCAGCAGCCGCGGUAAUACGUAUGUCCCGAGCGUUAUCCGGAUUUAUUGGGCGUAAAGCGAGCGCAGACGGUUUAUUAAGUCUGAUGUGAAAGCCCGGAGCUCAACUCCGGAAUGGCAUUGGAAACUGGUUAACUUGAGUGCAGUAGAGGUAAGUGGAACUCCAUGUGUAGCGGUGGAAUGCGUAGAUAUAUGGAAGAACACCAGUGGCGAAGGCGGCUUACUGGACUGCAACUGACGUUGAGGCUCGAAAGUGUGGGUAGCAAACAGGAUUAGAUACCCUGGUAGUCCACACCGUAAACGAUGAACACUAGGUGUUAGGAGGUUUCCGCCUCUUAGUGCCGAAGCUAACGCAUUAAGUGUUCCGCCUGGGGAGUACGACCGCAAGGUUGAAACUCAAGGAAUUGACGGGGACCCGCACAAGCGGUGGAGCAUGUGGUUUAAUUCGAAGCAACGCGAAGAACCUUACCAGGUCUUGACAUCCUUUGAAGCUUUUAGAGAUAGAAGUGUUCUCUUCGGAGACAAAGUGACAGGUGGUGCAUGGUCGUCGUCAGCUCGUGUCGUGAGAUGUUGGGGUUAAGGUCCCGCAACGAGCGCAACCCUUUAUUGUUAGUUUGCCAGCAUUCAAGAUGGGCAACUCUAG